Long non-coding RNA from Pantherophis guttatus, 1412 nucleotides. RefSeq lists it as uncharacterized. Lineage: Eukaryota; Metazoa; Chordata; Lepidosauria; Squamata; Colubridae. The record is from RefSeq and is a predicted model, not a curated record.
CUCUAGUGACUUACUUAUAUCCUGUUGUAUUAGACCUGUGCAUCCUGAAAACUGUAUAUAAGAUCGGUAAAUGCUGGUUUCCUGAAUACCACAAUUGGCGCCGGAAAGGGACUUGAAGACUUUUCGUCUGGUAAGGAUAAUAUCCUGCUAAGCACGCACACACUGUUUAGGUGUACAGGCUUAUUUCCUUUCCAGUCAGAAUUGCUCUUUUUAGACCCUGAGACAGAGACAUGAACACCAAGGCAGUGGAACGUUCCUGCGGCUGCAGUGCACUGGGAGUGAGGAUUUACAAAAGAGGCUUGUUAAAGCUUGAAGAACCCUGUGUGAUAGAACAAAGAAGAAAUGAAGAAAAAUAAAGUCCUAUGACAAACUAAAGAUUAUGACUGCAAGAGUUUAUUUGAUCAAGGUUAAAAAGAGACACGCUAUUAGUUUUGAUUAAACUUUAUGGAAUUUCUGCUGAUACCAAGGUUGAAAAACCAAGUUUCGAUUAUUCUUUUCCUUUUCUUCUCUCUCUCUCUCUCUCUCUUUUCCUUUUUAUCCAUGUACUUUUUACUCCUCUUUCUUCUCUUUCCUUAAGUUCAGUUUGUAUAUUUUGUAUAAUCAAAGUCCUUAAAAAUGCACAUUACUUGCUAUUGCACUCUUCUCUAGAACAGGACAUAGAUAAGAAAAUUUAAAAUAUUGUUUUUGAUCCUUUUUCAUUCAAUUGCCAUGUAACAGGAAGUUCCGAUGGAAUUGAACAUAAGAAAAUAAGUAUAUAAAGAAUUGAUAAAGUACCUAACACCCAAAGAGGAAAAAAAAAGAAAGCAAUGAAUCUAUCAAUAUUGGUUUCAAGUUUCUCAUGUCUUAUGACUAGUUGUUAAUGCUCUGAAAUUUUGUUUUUAUGUAUUUAGUUAUUUUUACAUUUUUAUUCCCUUUUUCAUGUAUGAGAUGGCAAACAUACCAAUAGUCUCUCUAUUUUUCAUUCCUUCUUCUAUUUUUUUCCCAUAACAAUUAAUCUGUGAGGUAGGUUGGGCUGAGAGAGAGUGACUGGCCCAAAGUCACCCAGCCAGCUUUUAUACCUAAAGUGGGACUAGAACACCUAGUCUCCUGGUUUUUCACCACUACACCAAAUGGUGUAUUUGAAUUUAUUUACAUAUUUCUCUGCACAUACCUAUUUUUACAUUUCCCUUAUUUAAUAUAUGAUUACACAUCAUUUUAGAAAUAUUUUCUUGACACGUCUUUUCUAAAAAAGAUAACAAACUGUUAGAUAAAAUGCAGUUUUUAAAGGAUACAUUUCAGCUUUCUGCUACUCUAAAAACUAAAAAUAAAAACCCAAUAUCUGCCAGAAAACUAUAUUUGAUGUGAUGUUAAUUAUAGUCUUGCAUACAUCUCUCCAAUGGCUAUAUUUCCUUAAUAAAGCAGUUUCUCGAGAA